This 497-nucleotide ribosomal RNA is filed under the name uncultured bacterium. RNAcentral's name for it is "partial 16S ribosomal RNA". It matches the Rfam family "Bacterial small subunit ribosomal RNA", at positions 28 to 507 of the family's 1533-position model. The record is from RNAcentral.
GAUGAACGCUGGCGGCGUGCCUAAUACAUGCAAGUCGAGCGAACAGACGAGGAGCUUGCUCCUUCGACGUUAGCGGCGGACGGGUGAGUAACACGUAGGUAACCUACCUAUAAGACUGGGAUAACUUCGGGAAACCGGAGCUAAUACCGGAUAAUAUUUCGAACCGCAUGGUUCGAUAGUGAAAGAUGGCUUUGCUAUCACUUAUAGAUGGACCUGCGCCGUAUUAGCUAGUUGGUAAGGUAAAGGCUUACCAAGGCAACGAUACGUAGCCGACCUGAGAGGGUCAUCGGCCACACUGGAACUGAGACACGGUCCACACUCCUACGGGAGGCAGCAGUAGGGAAUCUUCCGCAAUGGGCGAAAGCCUGACGGAGCAACGCCGCGUGAGUGAUGAAGGUCUUCGGAUCGUAAAACUCUGUUAUUAUGGAAGAACAAACGUGUAAGUAACUGUGCACGUCUUGACGGUACCUAAUCAGAAAGCCACGGCUAACUACGUG